AUUGAACGCUGGCGGCAGGCUUAACACAUGCAAGUCGAGCGGGGUGAUGGUGCUUGCACUAUCACUUAGCGGCGGACGGGUGAGUAAUGCUUAGGAAUCUGCCUAUUAGUGGGGGACAACAUCUCGAAAGGGAUGCUAAUACCGCAUACGUCCUACGGGAGAAAGCAGGGGAUCACUUGUGACCUUGCGCUAAUAGAUGAGCCUAAGUCGGAUUAGCUAGUUGGUGGGGUAAAGGCCUACCAAGGCGACGAUCUGUAGCGGGUCUGAGAGGAUGAUCCGCCACAAUGGGACUGAGACACGGCCCAGACUCCUACGGGAGGCAGCAGUGGGGAAUAUUGGACAAUGGGGGGAACCCUGAUCCAGCCAUGCCGCGUGUGUGAAGAAGGCCUUAUGGUUGUAAAGCACUUUAAGCGACGAGGAGGCUCUUUUGGUUAAUACCCAAGAUGAGUGGACGUUACUCGCAGAAUAAGCACCGGCUAACUUCGUGCCAGCAGCCGCCGUAA
RNAcentral lists this ribosomal RNA (503 nucleotides) under uncultured bacterium. RNAcentral's name for it is "partial 16S ribosomal RNA". It matches the Rfam family "Bacterial small subunit ribosomal RNA", at positions 30 to 523 of the family's 1533-position model. The record is from RNAcentral.